AUUGAACGCUGGCGGCAGGCCUAACACAUGCAAGUCGAGCGGAUGAAGGGAGCUUGCUCCUGGAUUCCGCGGCGGACGGGUGAGUGAUUCCUAGGAAUCUGCCUGGUAUUGGGGGAUAACGUCCGGAAACGGGCGCUAAUACCGCAUCCGUCCUGAGGGAGAACCUGGGGGUUCUUCGGACAUCACGCUAUCAGAUGAGCCUAGGUCGGAUUAGCUAGUUGGUGGGGUAAAGGCCUACCAAGGCGACGAUCCGUAGCUGCCCUGAGAGGAUGAUCAGUCACACUGGAACUGAGACACGGUCCAGACUCCUACGGGAGGCAGCAGUGGGGAAUAUUGGACAAUGGGCGAAAGCCUGACGCAGCCAUGCCGCGUGUGUGAAGAAGGUCUUCGGAUUGUAAAGCACUUUUAGUUGGGAGGAAGGGCAGUAUGUUAAUACCUUGCUGUCUUGACGUUACCAAAAGAAUAAGCACCGGCUAACUACGUG
Molecule: ribosomal RNA, 484 nt
Filed under: uncultured bacterium
Lineage: Bacteria
Description: partial 16S ribosomal RNA
Rfam family: Bacterial small subunit ribosomal RNA
Source: RNAcentral